UGUAUUAUAUUUCAUGGAGUGUAUAAUAAUUUAUUAAUUUAGAUAGCUAUCAAAUACUAGUUGAGCUUGGAGCACAAAUUUCGUGAGUCAUGUUAGUGUAGAGAAUUGCUUUUUAUUUUUAUUUGAUCUAAUUUUGAGGGCCACAAAAUAAGGCUUAUGGGAAAAGCCAAGUUUUCCUCUUAUUCUUUAUUUCUCCCACAAGCCCCAAAUGGGCCGAUCAAUGAGGGAACCAAAAUUGGUUUCAAAGUUAAAUUCUCAUUUCAACAAAUGAGUUUUAAAUUGUUAAUAAUUGCAACUCCCAAGAAAGAGGCUAUACAUAUAUUCUUUACAUUCAAAGGAAACUCAUUUUUCCUUCUUCUACCAUUAACUGUCGAGUUUUUCCCCCAAGAGCAGAACCACCAUUUUCUUCCUUCAAGUUCAAUUUCGGAGAGAAAUUUCAAGUAGUAGCUGCAAUAUUUUGAAAGAAAAGGUUCGAGUGGCAGUGUAGAAUGGACAAGCAAAGACUUCUAUUUCAUUAAGCAUAUCAGGUUAAGCUGUGAUGCAGAUGGUAGCAAGCAGAGCAAAGCCUUCGGUGUAUAUAUGUAUAAUUUAGGCUCGGGAUUUCAUGUCCUCAUACAUGUAAUCCACUUGAGUUGUUUCCGCUGCAACACUUAAUGUACCUUACUUUAUUGAUGUGUUGUAGAGAUUUUAAACCAAUAGCUUCGAGAAUUAUAUCAUUUAGACAACUUGUCGUUGUGUUAUUGUAAGUUGUCUACUCGUGAGUUUUAAAAGUGAUUGUAUAUGAUUACCAUACAUUAUGGUAAAGUAUUGCUUAAGUAAAAUAAUUAUUUUUAUUGAAA
This is a long non-coding RNA of Salvia miltiorrhiza (redroot sage), 839 nucleotides long. RefSeq lists it as uncharacterized. Lineage: Eukaryota; Viridiplantae; Streptophyta; Magnoliopsida; Lamiales; Lamiaceae. The record is from RefSeq and is a predicted model, not a curated record. The transcript is spliced from 2 exons.